Long non-coding RNA from Lemur catta (Ring-tailed lemur), 307 nucleotides. RefSeq lists it as uncharacterized. The record is from RefSeq and is a predicted model, not a curated record. NCBI's taxonomy places the organism in Eukaryota, Metazoa, Chordata, Mammalia, Primates, Lemuridae. The transcript has 3 exons.
CGCCCCGCCCGCGGCCGCGGGGGAGCCCACUCUGACGCCUGCGAGCUAGACUCUCAGUUUAUCCUGGAUUCUCAUUAGCCUUUAAAAAGUCUCAAAUUUCUUGCAUUAUAGAAUGUGUGUCUCAGCCCAAAUAAUGACACCAAAAGCUACCCAGUUGCCAGCCAAAACCUGGAUGUCAUCUUCCUCACUCCCCACUCCUGAGUCAAUCUCUGAAAUCUGUAGGAUCUACAGAACAGUCACAGGCCCUGGAACCACACUGCCUGGGAUUACAUCCCGACACUGUAUAACGUUGAGAAGGUUGUGUCAU